Molecule: long non-coding RNA, 6597 nt
Organism: Pan troglodytes (chimpanzee)
Lineage: Eukaryota; Metazoa; Chordata; Mammalia; Primates; Hominidae
Exons: 3
Source: RefSeq, a predicted model, not a curated record
GGGAGGGAAGGGAGAAGGAAAAAAAAUGGGGGGGAGUCCCUAACCUGAAAUUCCAGCACUAACAAAUUAUUUGAUUUUAGACAAUGGUCUCUUUCUGUGUCCCCUUUAAACUCUAAGUCCCCACAAAGGAACAGCAUAAUGAGUGUUCCGUUCCCUUAGAAGAUUUGUGUGGAAGAGAAGUCACCAGAAAGCUGAGGGGAAAAGAUAGGGCAAGGUCCCCAAACCUUUUCUGGAAAGGGUUGUGUGGUCUCUGGCCCACUAUUCACUCUCUGCCAUCCCAGCAUGAAAACAACCACAGACAAUUCACAAAUAAAUGAGUGUGGCAGUGUUACAACAAGUCUUCAGUUACAGACACUGAAAUCAAUUUCACGUGAUUUUCACAUGUCAGGAAAUACUAUGUUUCUAAUUUUUUUCCAACCAGCUCGGUGCUCUUUUUUCCAACCAUUAAACAUGUAAAAGCAAUUCAGUGAUCUUUGAUUUUUCCCAAUAUUGAACCCAGACAAGGGGCUGUAGAGACCAAGAAUCUUAUUUGUACAUGAAGCCUCCCGGUAGCAGGCCUCAGAGAGAAUGGAUUGUAACUGUUUCUUAUCAGACUUAAUAAGGUGCCAGAGGCCAGGUGCAGUGGCUUGUGCCUGUAAUCCCAGCACUUUGGGAGGACGAGGCGGGCGGAUCACGAGGUCAAGAGAUCGAGGCCAUCCUGGCCAACAUGGUGAAAACCCAUCUCUACUAAGAAUACAAAACUGAGCUGAGCAUGAUGGCACACACCUGUAGUCCCAGCUACUCAGGAGGCUGAGGCAGGAGAAUCGCUUGAACCCAGGAGGUGGAGGUUGCAGUGAGCCAAGAUCGCACCACUGCACUCCAGCCUGGCGAAAGAGCCAGACUCCAUCUCAAAAAAAAAAAAAAAAAAUGGUGCCAGACUCUUAGUUAAUUCUCUCCUGGAUCAGGGAAAAGACCUGGAAAGGGAAGGGGAUUCUCUACAGAAUGUAGAUUUUCCCCACAAGAGACAGCUUUGCAGGGCUGUUUCAAAAUAUGUCAAAGAAAUAUAUUUUAUGGUAAAAUAAUUCAAUUUCUUUUGGGGCCUGCUAUCUGUCAUGUGACGCUAUGCUAGAGUCACAUUGGAAUGUGAUACCUUACUGCUCCAAAAAGUCUGUUUUGUCAGUCUUAAGAUCUGUUUUAAUGGUUAAUGCAGGUCAGCUGUGUCGGAAUUUCAAAGGGCUGAGAGUAUAAUGAGGUAUGCCCGCUUCCAUCAAGAUCUGAAAUAGAUUUUCAGGUUUACUUUGGAAAGCCUUUUGCCAAGGGCUGGUGGGGGAGGGUGGUCCAUCAGUCAGUUGGGGGGCUUAGAAUUUUAUUUUUGGUUUAUACCAAGGAUAAGGGAAUGGGCAGUUCUGACCUUUCAUCCUUACGUUGUGUGUCCAAAGAGGAAAUAAAGCCCCUUUUUUCAGCGUGAUUUGCAGAAAUCCAGGUAGGUCCUCCAGUUGGUGCAGCGUGGGUCCUGCACACAUCCAGACCAUCGCCAUCUCCAGGGGGCAGCUAUAGCAGCUGACCCAAGUCACAGUGAUGUGGCCAGUCUCAGGGCCAUGACAGGUUAGGGAGGCUGAGCCCCCCAGCUUCAGUGAGUGAGUGUAUCCCAUAAAAGGGGAUGCCAUUGUAGGCUGAACAAAACAAAUGCCCCGCACAGCACCCCAUCCCUCCCGCUGUAAUUCUGAAGGACAUGACUGCCCUCCAAAUGAAGAAUCCGCAAGUGGAAUGAGCACAUCUCCACUACUCUAAGAACAGCCAAAAUAGGCAGUGAAGCUCAGCUUUCAGGAAGCGUUGCUUUCAUUCAGAGUGGGUGUGCUGAUGGAGACGGGAGAAAACUCAAAAGGGGGUGGUGGUUAUUGUCAAAAACAAAAGGCAUUUUAAAAACUCUGGAUAUGCUCUUUCUACCCCUAGGCCUUAAAUGGCCUUUCCUGUCUUCUUCAUCUGGGAAUCUCCUAUGCAUCUGUUAAGACACUGCUCAAGGCCUGGUGCAGUGGCUCACACCUGUAAUCCCAGCACUCUGGGAGGCCAAGGUGGGCAGAUCACCUGAGGUCAGGAGUUCAAGACCAGCCUGGCCAACAUGGUGAAACCCCAUCUCUACUAAAAAUAUACAAAAAUUAGCUGGGUGUGGUGGUGGGCACCUGUAAUCCCAGCUACUCGGGAGGCUGAGGCAGGAGAAUCACUUGAGCCUGGAAUGUCAAGGUUGCAGUGAGCCAAGAUCACACCACUGCACUCCAGCAUGGGUGAUAGAGCAAGACUCCAUCUCAAAAAAAAAAAAAAAAAAAAAAAGACAUUGCUCAACCAUCGCCUCCUCCGUGAAGCCUGCCUUGGUUCUCCAAGACAAAGUUGGCAUCUCAUUGCUGCUCCAGAUUCCAAGAGUAGUUUGCAUUUACUUCACUGGUGUUUGUUUUUUGUUUGUUUGUUUGUUUGUUUGAGACAGGGUCUCACUCUGUGAGUGAGGCUGGAGUGCAGUGGCACCAUCUCAGCUCACUGAAACCUCCACCUCCUGGAUUCAAGUAAUCCUCAUGCCUCAGCCUCCUGAGUAGCUGGGGUUACAGGCGCACACCACCACACUCGACUAAUUUUUGUAUUUUUAGUAGAGAUGGAGUUUCGCCAUGUUGGCCAGGCUGGUCUCGAACACCUGACUUCAAGUGAUCUGCCCAUCUCAGCCUCCCAGAGUGCUGGGAUUACAGGCAGAGCCGCCAUGCCUGGCCUCUUCACUGGUUUUUAAUCUCUGGCUCAUGGGUACUGCCUCUCUCCUGGGUACUUCACUAUGUGAAGUUUUUCUUCCAGCAUCCCAAGCAUAAACCUAACCCUCAGCAGGUGUUCCUGACCAGUUUGGUGGGUGGUUAAACUACACAGCAAGAUGUAUAUUUCCUGUGAGAGAUGGUAUUAUUUACCACGUGGUUUUCUCCUAAUAGAACCCACCUCCCAUAAUAGAGGCUGUAAAUUCCACCAACUUCUGCUCCCAGCCUCCCUUACAAAUGGAGGUUGACAAGGGACUCAUUUAUGGUGAAUAAGACUUAAGAAGUCUCCAAGGGGCUUUUCCCCCUCCUUGAUAUAAAGAGCACCUCAAAAGAGAGAAACUCUCUUGCCUGUCCUCUUCCUUCCUGUCGCUGAACACAACUGUGAGAGACUGUGAUGCCUGGAGCUGCAGCAGUGAUCUUGAGAUGAUGAGGCAAUAGCUGUGGUGGUCAUCUUGAGACCGUGAGGCAACAGCUGUGGCAGCCAUCUUGAGACCAUGAGGCAACAGCCUGGAGACAAAAGCCAACAUGUUCAAAAUGAUGCAGUAGAAAUGUUGGAAGUGGGUCUUUGAUUAUUCAUCCUUAGAUUCAAGGCUGGGAAGUCCAAGAUCAAGGUGCUGGCAUUUUGCCAGGGCCUUCUUGCUGUGUCACCACAUCCAUGGCUGAAGGUAGAAGGGUCAAGAGAGAGUGAGAAGCUGGGCACGGUGGUUCACGCCUGUAAUCCCAGCACUUUGGGAGGCCAAGACAGAGUCUCGCGCUGUCGCCCAGGCUGGAGUGCAGUGGCGCAAUCUCAGCUAGCUGCAGGCUCCGCCUCCCAAGUUCAUGUCAUUCUCCUGCCUCAGCCUCCCAAGUAGCUGGGACUACAGGGCCUGCCACCACGCCCGGCUAAUUUUUUGUAUUUUUAGUAGAGACGGGGUUUCACUGUGUUAGCCAGGAUGGUCUCGAUCUCCUGACCUCGUGAUCCACCCACCUCGGCCACCUAAAGUGCUGGGAUUACAGGCAUGAGCCACCGCGCCUGGCCUGUGAUUUUUUUUUUUUUUUUUACAAAGAUGCGCUGUCUUUGUUCCCCCAGAAAUGUGUUGUUUCCCUGACAGUCAGAUGCAUCCCUGCCUGCCUUAAACAAAGGUCUGUGAUCACUUUCUUUAACAUCAAGGCCAGAGUUCCUGAAAUCAAUGAGAAAUUCUAAACAUACCAGGAUGCCUUCCAAACAGGUGGGCUUUUUGUUCUCCAGAAAAUGCAAUGAAUUUAAAACAUUGUACCAAACAUCUUCAAAACCUAGUCAUGAAAGUAACAUGCUUUAUUACAUUAAAUGAAAUUAAAUCAGUAGAGGACAAAUGCACUAAGGAGGCUAAUGGCCAACAUGAUUAGUCACUGCUAACUUGCAUGAAAUCAAUAGUAACCAAGAGGAGUUCAUCAGUUUGCACUGAAACAAAACUUGAGAGAAGAAUCCAGCAUACUGGAAGAACAACGAAAAAGAUGAAAUAAUCUUUUAGCUGGGAAAAAUAUGUUGUUUUGAAUAUUUUGAGUAUAUUUUAACUUCAACGAUAAGCUUAAUUCCAAUUUCAGGAUAUUAUUUAAGGAAAAGCUUAGAAGUGUACUCCACAAAGAAUUAAGAAACACAUGUCCUCAUAACUUUUAUUAUGUUCUUUUGAUUAAAAUAAUACAUAUUCAUUCCUAUAUGCUCCUUCAUAUUACAAAUGAUUUUUACAUCAUGAAGAUGAUGCUAUUCUGUGUUCUGUAUUCUGUUUCAAACUUAGAAUUAUACUUCAUAAACAUCUUCUGUGACUAAAACUUCUCCAAAAACUUUCACUGGCUGCUGGCGUUCCACUAAAAGUGUCAUCAAUGACCCUAUCAAAGGAUAUUUUUCUGUUAUCCUCCCAGAAUUCACUUCUCAUUGGCAUCUGGUCCUGUCAAUUCUUCUUUUUUUUUUUUUUUUUGAGAUGGAGUCUUGCUCUGUCACCCAGGCUUGGAGUGCAGUGGUGCGAUCUCACCUCACUGCAACCUCCGCCUCCCAGGCUUAAGCGAUUCUCCUUCCUCAGCCUCCCAAGUAGCUGGGACUAGAGGUGUGUGCCACCACCUCCAGCUAAUUUUUUGUAUUCUUAGCAGAGACAAGGUUUCACCAUGUUAGCUAGGCCAGGCUCAAACUCCUGGCCUCAAGUGAUCGCCUGCCUCAGCCUCUCAAUGUGCUGGGAUAACAGAUAUGAGCCACCGUGCCUGGCUGAUUAGUCUUUUCUUGAUCCACUCUUCCCACUGGAUUUCUGUGACUCCACGGCCUGGUGUCUCUCCUAAAACUGUCUUUGCAAAAAAUUAUAACGGUAAGGAAAUGACGACAGUGAAAGAAUGGAUCUCACCAAUCCCCAUCUUGCCUUCAACAUCCAAACUGCCUUUAAUCAUAUCUGGGCUUGGGCCAAGCAAACUUUGGGAGACAUUUAUUUUAUAGUUUAAAUGAUAAUAUCCCUUCUCCAAAACUCAACCACCUUCGUAAAGCUAAUGAGAGACCACCAGGCGAGGAGGAUGAGAAGAGCCUGAAUUCUGCUGAGAUGUAGACUGAACGAUUACCAGCCAUUAUUCCAGAGGUCACAAGAUUUGCAACCCCCCAAUAACUCCUACAGAUUACGUCACUAUUACAGAAACUAAGAUUGGCCUUUUGAGAUAAGGUUUCAGGUUUGUGCAUUUCUGACAACCAACGGCUCCACUUGGACCCACCAAACUCCCUCUGGCCCCACCCAGAAGUGAACUCAGCAGACAAGGACCAUUUUUCACAACCCUAUGAUUGCAUCCCCAACCAAUUAGCAGCACCCCUACCCUAGCCCCCUGCCCACCAAAUUAUCAUUAUCUCUGAAUUUUCAGGGAGAUCAAGUUGAGUAAUAAUAAAACUCCAGUCUCUCAUUCAGCUGGCUGUAUGUGAAGUAAGCUCUUUCUCUAUUGCAAUUGCCCUGUCUUGGUAAGUCAGCUCUCUCUGGACAGCCAGCAAAAUGAACUCAUUGCACACGGUUACAGUCUCAUCUCUACCGGCUGUAGACUUGCCUCCUCUGUUGGAGCUCAUCAAGGCUGGGUCUCUCCUGUUCUCAUUUUAUUCUCUCUCCUUAGGUGAUCUCAGCCCUCCUCCAGGCUUCGAUUAUAACUUACAGGAUUGUGAUUCACACAUUUCAGUUUCUACCACAGGCCCCUCCAGACAUGUCCAUCUGCCUGCUGUGUUGACUUUUCCCUUUGGAGUCUUGAGGCAGCUACAAGCUUACUGACCAGAAAUGAACUCAAGCUCUCCCCGAAGCCUGGUCCUCUUCCAGGAUCAGCCAGCCUGGAAGAUGGCACUGUCAUCCACCCUGUUCUCAGGCCUGCCACCCAGGAGUCAACCUUAGCCCCAUCUAAUUGUCAGAGGCAUCUGAACCAGAGCAACUCCAUCUUGAGUAGGGGAUGGGUAAAAUGAGGCUGAGACCUGCUGGGCUGCAUUCCCAGACAGCCAAGGCAUUAGCCACAGGAUAAGAUAGGUGGUCGGUACAAGACACAGGUCAUAAAGACCUUGCUGAUAAAACAGUUUGCAGUAAAGAAGCCAGCCAAAACCCACUAAAACCGAGAUGGCAACGAGAGGGACCUCUGCUCGUCCUCACUGCUACCCUCCCACCAGCACCAUGACAGUUUACAAAUGCCAUGGCAAUGUCAGAAAGUUACCCUAUAGGGUCUAAAAAGGGGAGGCAUGAAUAAUCUACCCCUUGUUUAGCAUAUCAUCAAGAAAUAACCAUAAAAAUAGGCAACCAGCAGCCCUCAGGGAUGCUCUGUCUAUGGAGUAGUCAUUCUUUUGUUCCUUUACUCUCUUAAUAAACUUGCUUUCACUUUA